This 253-nucleotide ribosomal RNA is filed under the name uncultured bacterium. RNAcentral describes it as "partial 16S ribosomal RNA". It matches the Rfam family "Bacterial small subunit ribosomal RNA", at positions 524 to 776 of the family's 1533-position model. The record is from RNAcentral.
GACGUAGGGCGCGAGCGUUGUCCGGAUUUAUUGGGCGUAAAGAGCUCGUAGGCGGCUUGUCGCGUCGUUCGUGAAAACUCACAGCUCAACUGUGAGCUUGCGGUCGAUACGGGCAGGCUAGAGUUCGGUAGGGGAGACUGGAAUUCCUGGUGUAGCGGUGAAAUGCGCAGAUAUCAGGAGGAACACCGGUGGCGAAGGCGGGUCUCUGGGCCGAUACCGACGCUGAGGAGCGAAAGCGUGGGGAGCGAACAGG